UACGGGGGGGGCAAGCGUUGUUCGGAAUUACUGGGCGUAAAGGGCGCGUAGGCGGCCAACUAAGUCAGACGUGAAAUCCCUCGGCUUAACCGGGGAACUGCGUCUGAUACUGGAUGGCUUGAGGUUGGGAGAGGGAUGCGGAAUUCCAGGUGUAGCGGUGAAAUGCGUAGAUAUCAAGAGGAACACCUGCGGCGAAGGCGGGUUGCUGGGCCGACACUGACGCUGAUGCGCGAAAGCUAGGGGAGCGAACGGG
RNAcentral lists this ribosomal RNA (253 nucleotides) under uncultured bacterium. Its description in RNAcentral is "partial 16S ribosomal RNA". It matches the Rfam family "Bacterial small subunit ribosomal RNA", at positions 524 to 776 of the family's 1533-position model. The record is from RNAcentral.